RNAcentral lists this transfer RNA (64 nucleotides) under Haemaphysalis qinghaiensis. RNAcentral describes it as "tRNA-Met". Lineage: Eukaryota; Metazoa; Arthropoda; Arachnida; Ixodida; Ixodidae. The record is from RNAcentral.
AAUAAAGUCAGCUAAAUCUUUAAGCUAGUGGGUUCAUACCCCAAAAAUGAAUUUUCCUUUAUUA